GACGGAGUAGCUCAGUUGGGAGAGCGUUAGACUGAAGAUCUAAAUGUCCCCGGUUCGAUCCCGGGUUCCGGCA
This is a transfer RNA of Schistosoma mansoni, 73 nucleotides long. It matches the Rfam family "tRNA". Rfam says of the family: Transfer RNA (tRNA) molecules are approximately 80 nucleotides in length. Their secondary structure includes four short double-helical elements and three loops (D, anti-codon, and T loops). The record is from Rfam. Lineage: Eukaryota; Metazoa; Platyhelminthes; Trematoda; Strigeidida; Schistosomatidae.